UACGAGGGGUGCAAGCGUUGCUCGGAAUUAUUGGGCGUAAAGGGUAGGUAGGUGGUCUCAUUUGUCUGAUGUGAAAGCCUUGGGCUUAACUCAAGAAGUGCGUCAGAAACGGUGAGACUCGAGUCCUAGAGAGGGUCGUGGAAUUCCCGGUGUAGCGGUGAAAUGCGUAGAGAUCGGGAGGAACACCAGAGGCGAAGGCGGCGACCUGGAUAGGUACUGACACUCAACUACGAAAGCGUGGGGAGCAAACAGG
RNAcentral lists this ribosomal RNA (253 nucleotides) under uncultured bacterium. Its description in RNAcentral is "partial 16S ribosomal RNA". It matches the Rfam family "Bacterial small subunit ribosomal RNA", at positions 524 to 776 of the family's 1533-position model. The record is from RNAcentral.